This is a long non-coding RNA of Hibiscus syriacus, 592 nucleotides long. RefSeq lists it as uncharacterized. The transcript has 7 exons. NCBI's taxonomy places the organism in Eukaryota, Viridiplantae, Streptophyta, Magnoliopsida, Malvales, Malvaceae. The record is from RefSeq and is a predicted model, not a curated record.
UGCAAUAUGGUUGCUUGUUCUGCUGAGGGUUACGUUAUCUCACUGGAAAUGGCCAGUAAAGGGCUAUCAGGAGUGCUUUCACUGAGCAUUGGGAAUCUGAGUCACCUAAAACAAUGCUGUUGCAAAACAAUAAGUUGUCAGGUCCCAUUCCUGAUGAGAUAGGGAAGCUCCCAGAGCUUCAAACACUUGAUCUUUCUGGUAACCAGUUCGUCGGAGUAAUUCCAAGAUUUUGGGCUCUCUAACUCAUCUAACUUACUUGCGGCUUAGCAACAGCAAUUUAACUGGACCUAUUCCUGGAACCAUUGCGAAUCUCACUGGUCUUUCGUUCUUGGAUGUAUCCUUUAAUAACCUCAGCGGUCCUACUCCAAAAAUCCUAGCAAAAGGUUAUAGUAUUUCAGGGAAUGACUUUCUUUGCACUUCUUCGUAUGAACAAAGUUGCACUGGCGUUUUAAAACCAUUAAAUGGCUCAGUUUCAUCUUCUAGAACCUGUGGAUACCACCGUUGGGGGUUGUCUGUUGCCAUAGCAAUCAGUUCCGGGUUUGUGGUUUCUUUGGUUCUGCUUGUUGGUUGGGUGCAUUGGCACCGAUCUCGU